AAUACGAGUAGUCACUUGAUAUCUACCUUUUAUCGUGACAUAUUCGAUGCUAAAGUAAUGUGAAUAGUUCUUGAAUCUGUGAUAUCUCGACUGUUCAUAAUGAGAUUGCUAUUAUUUGACUACACCAUAACUCGAUCUCUUAAUCAUGUGAAAUCUUAAGAUGUAUAUUAGCUGUAGUAGAUUUAUUAUAGGAAUAAGUUGUGUUUCUAUAUGAGAUCUAUCAAUCUUCAUGCA
Molecule: long non-coding RNA, 234 nt
Filed under: Elaeis guineensis (African oil palm)
Lineage: Eukaryota; Viridiplantae; Streptophyta; Magnoliopsida; Arecales; Arecaceae
Description: long non-coding RNA (EGUI_LNC004750)
Source: RNAcentral